This 431-nucleotide ribosomal RNA is filed under the name uncultured bacterium. RNAcentral describes it as "partial 16S ribosomal RNA". It matches the Rfam family "Bacterial small subunit ribosomal RNA", at positions 29 to 506 of the family's 1533-position model. The record is from RNAcentral.
ACGAACGCUGGCGGCAUGCCUAACACAUGCAAGUCGAACGAGACCUUCGGGUCUAGUGGCGCACGGGUGCGUAACGCGUGGGAACCUGCCCUUAGGUUCGGAAUAACUCCCCGAAAGGGGUGCUAAUACCGGAUAAUGUCUUCGGACCAAAGAUUUAUCGCCUUUGGAUGGGCCCGCGUUGGAUUAGCUAGUUGGUAGGGUAGAAGCCUACCAAGGCGACGAUCCAUAGCUGGUCUGAGAGGAUGAUCAGCCACACUGGGACUGAGACACGGCCCAGACUCCUACGGGAGGCAGCAGUGGGGAAUAUUGGACAAUGGGCGAAAGCCUGAUCCAGCAAUGCCGCGUGAGUGAUGAAGGCCUUAGGGUUGUAAAGCUCUUUUACCCGGGAUGAUAAUGACAGUACCGGGAGAAGAAGCUCCGGCUAACUCCGU